CCUACGGGUGGCAGCAGUGAGGAAUAUUGGUCAAUGGGCGGAAGCCUGAACCAGCCAAGUAGCGUGCGGGAUGAAGGCCCUACGGGUCGUAAACCGCUGGUGCACGGGGAGAACACCCUCCACUUGUGGAGGUCUGCAGGUACCGUGCGAAUAAGGGCCGGCUAAUUCCGUGCCAGCAGCCGCGGUAAUACGGCAGGCCCGAGCGUUAUCCGGAUUCAUUGGGCUUCAAGGGCGCGUAGGCGGGCGUUCAAGUCAGCGGGAAAAUCGCGCGGCUCAACCGCGCCCCGCAGUUGAAACUGGACGCCUUGCGUUCACCACAGGCAGGCGGAAUUCUUGGUGUAGCGGU
Molecule: ribosomal RNA, 346 nt
Filed under: uncultured bacterium
Lineage: Bacteria
Description: partial 16S ribosomal RNA
Rfam family: Bacterial small subunit ribosomal RNA
Source: RNAcentral